RNAcentral lists this ribosomal RNA (220 nucleotides) under uncultured fungus. RNAcentral describes it as "partial 18S ribosomal RNA". The stretch from base 46 to 220 matches the Rfam family "Eukaryotic small subunit ribosomal RNA", at positions 692 to 868 of the family's 1831-position model. The record is from RNAcentral. Lineage: Eukaryota; Fungi.
GGGUUAGUACGCCGGUCAUGCCUUCGGUAUGUACUGGUGCUACCGAUUCCUACCUUCUGAAGAACCGUCAUGUCAUUAGUUUGGUGUGGCGGGGAAUCAGGACUGUUACUUUGAAAAAAUUAGAGUGUUUAAAGCAGGCUCGCACUUGAAUACAUUAGCAUGGAAUAAUGAAAUAGGACGUUCGAUCCUAUUUUGUUGGUUUCUAGGAUUGACGUAAUGA